Non-coding RNA from Elaeis guineensis (African oil palm), 2035 nucleotides. Lineage: Eukaryota; Viridiplantae; Streptophyta; Magnoliopsida; Arecales; Arecaceae. The record is from RefSeq and is a predicted model, not a curated record.
AAAAGCAUUUUCUGGUUCGACCUCAGAAGUCGAAAGUUUAUCGGUUGUAGUUUCCGCUAUCUCAUAUCAGCCUUUUUAUCAGUUUCUGGAUUCGAUCUCUUCCUUUUCGUCUACAUUCUUUCCUUCUUCUAGUUUAUUUGUAGACUCCAAUCCCUCCCAAGUUCUCCUUCUCUCCAUGGAAGGAAAAAAAGAAGAAGAGCAGGUCAUGAGCGAGGUACACCUGGGCUGCCCUCCUGGUUUCUCCGGUUCCUACGUCUCCCAUUUCACUUUCUCCCUUCCAUCAACAGCUUGUCUUUUUCAUGUUAAAGAGGUUACUGGCUAAGCUAGGGAGAUCAGAAGUGCAAUUCCAACACAGUUAAUUAUUCAACUUAGAUAUGCCAGAUGAAAGAUCUGAUGACCAACUCAAGAUGGAAAUGUCUUCGAGCCAAGAGAUUAUUUUGGAUGAGGAUGGUGAUCUUCUCCUGACUCGUCGAAAGAAUAAAAAUUGGAGAUAUCUGAAUUAUGGAUUUACAAUCCGACAUAACAUCACCUCAUCACUUGGAAAUGUUGGCUUGCAAGUGUGGAGAGCAGCAUUGGUAUUAACUGAAUUUAUUUGGCAUAAAAGUUUAACCUCAUCUGACUUUAAUGACAUCAUUGCAUUAGAGCUCGGUGCAGGCACAGGUUUAGUUGGUAUAGCACUUGCAAGAGUUGCUAGGACAGUCUUCAUAACAGAUAGAGGCAUGGAAGUUUUAGAUAAUUGUGGAGCUAAUGUUCAACUCAACUCUGGCCUGCUUAAGUUCCAUGAACCUUCUAUUCAUAUUCGAGAACUUGAUUGGAAGGAAGGAUGGCCUCCUAAUUUGCAAACAUGUGACUUCUCAUCUCAGCAGAGUCUUUACAAUAAUAUACAUCGACCAAGCAAAUUGGCAGUUGGAGCGGAUUUCUCCUGUUUCAAACACAAGAUAGAGCCAAAAUGGGAGGACCCAGUCUGUGCGAAUGGAGGAAAAUGGACCAUAAGCUGCUCUAGGGGGAAGGUUGAUACUUGGUGGUUAUACACAUUGUUAGCUAUGCUUGGGGAGCAGUUUGAUCAUGGUGAAGAAAUAUGUGGGGCAGUCGUCAAUGUACGAGCAAAACAAGAAAAGAUUUCUAUCUGGACAAAAAAUGGUUUGGAUGAAGCUGCUCAGACAUUUGUUGUCCUUGACUUCCUAAAUUGCUUUUGUGACUGGCAUGCUCAAAGAUGUGUAGAUCUACCAUCCACAAAGUUAGUUAUAGGCAACAAUAUACGUGAUAAACAUAUCCUGCCAGCAUGGAAUCGAUGAGGUAUAAAGCCAACGGUGAUACACUCGUGCACCUUCAUGCUUCAUGCCUUAAUUCAACAGCUGAUCCUCUUAUAAAAUGGGAUGACUCUGUGGUUUGAGGCUAAUUGAUGCAUGGCUUCUGCUAGUAUCCUGUUGUUUCUAGUUGGUCAGAGGCAAACUGUGAGUCAACUGGGUUGUCUGCAUUUUUUAUUCUGGGUGCUUCUGGAAGUCAGCCUGAUGGAAAGCUGAUCGUAUCAACACCAAGUGCCAUUUGGAUCGAUCAAAUGUCAUGCACCAUCUGACGUGGAUCAUGACUAAACAUGGCUUGCUGUGUUUCAAUUUCUCACAGAUCACUCAAUGUGUGAGCAUUGGGAAACAAUGGAAGGCGAUCCUGGAUUACAAUGACACUAUUGGUUUUAUACUGCAUGAUGAUGCAAAGAAGCAUGACAGAUUCGCCAAGAGCCGAUAUCAAAUAUGAUCUUGUUAUGUUAACAAGUAGCAUGAACCUAUGAAUUCCUCUUUCUAGCAGCUAACUAGAAGCAAGUGGUGAUGGUAUAUAAAUAGUGUAUGGUUUCCUUUUUUAGGGUAUUUUCGGUGGAUACCGACUAUUUAUUUCUUUUAGUGGUCUCAUUCCUUCUUGAUCCCUGUAUAGCUUUUUCUGAUGUCAAUCUACCUGCUAACCUCUUUUAAACAGCUGAUCUCUCUCUCUCUCUUUUUUUUUUUUGUUGCUAUUUUCUUAAAGUAAUGUUGACUUGAUGCUU